RNAcentral lists this ribosomal RNA (253 nucleotides) under uncultured bacterium. RNAcentral describes it as "partial 16S ribosomal RNA". It matches the Rfam family "Bacterial small subunit ribosomal RNA", at positions 524 to 776 of the family's 1533-position model. The record is from RNAcentral.
UACGUAGGGACCAAGCGUUGUUCGGAUUUACUGGGCGUAAAGGGCGCGUAGGCGGCGUGGUAAGUCACUUGUGAAAUCUCUGAGCUUAACUCAGAACGGCCAAGUGAUACUGCUGUGCUAGAGUGCAGAAGGGGCAAUCGGAAUUCUUGGUGUAGCGGUGAAAUGCGUAGAGAUCAGGAAGAACAUCGGUGGCGAAGGCGCUCUGCUGGACCAUAACUGACACUCAGGGACGAAAGCUAGGGGAGCGAAUGGG